UACGUAGGGGGCAAGCGUUGUCCGGAUUUAUUGGGCGUAAAGAGCGUGUAGGCGGCUAGGUAGGUCCGUUGUGAAAACUCGAGGCUCAACCUCGAGACGCCGAUGGAAACCAUCUAGCUAGAGUCCGGAAGAGGAGAGUGGGAUUCCUGGUGUAGCGGUGAAAUGCGCAGAUAUCAGGAAGAACACCUGUGGCUAAGGCGGCUCUCUAGUACGGUACUGACGCUGAGACGCGAAAGCGUGGGGAGCGAACAGG
Molecule: ribosomal RNA, 253 nt
Filed under: uncultured bacterium
Lineage: Bacteria
Description: partial 16S ribosomal RNA
Rfam family: Bacterial small subunit ribosomal RNA
Source: RNAcentral